Molecule: long non-coding RNA, 546 nt
Filed under: Papio anubis (olive baboon)
Lineage: Eukaryota; Metazoa; Chordata; Mammalia; Primates; Cercopithecidae
Description: lncRNA (ENSPANG00000048741.1)
Source: RNAcentral
UUAAUGCCACCACCAUAUCCAGAGGCAACCACUGUUCUGGAAUUCUUCCAUCAUAGUUUAGUUUAUUCUGCUCUAGAGUGUAUAAAAAUGGCAUCACAAGGCUAUCCAGAGCAUCUCAUCACGUGGGGAAGGAACCCUAGCAUUAUGCUUCCAAGGAGUAGGUUCGUGGUCUUGCUGGCCUCAGGAGUGAAGCUGCAGACCUUCACAGUGAGUGUUACAGUUCAUAAAGGCGGCACAUCCGGAGUUGUUCAUUCUUCCCAUCCAGAGUUGUUCGUCCCUCCUGGUGGGUUCGUUGUCUUGCUGGCUUCAGGAGUGAAGCUGCAGACCUUCGCAGUGUUACAGCUCAUAAAAACAGUGCAGACUGGAAGAGUGAGCAACAGCAAGAUUUAUUGGGAAGAGGAAAAGAACAAAGCCACCACUACGUGGAAAAGGACCAGAGCAGGUUGCCCCUGCUGGCUCAGGUGGCCUGCUUUUAUACCCUUAUCUGGCCCCAUCCACAUCCUGCUGAUUGGUCCAUUUUACAGAGAGCUGAUUGGUCCGUUUUGA